CCUACGGGUGGCAGCAGUGAGGGAUAUUGGUCAAUGGGGGAAACCCUGAACCAGCAACGCCGCGUGAGGGAAGACGGUUUUCGGAUUGUAAACCUCUGUCCUCUGUGAAGAUAAUGACGGUACCUGAGUAAGAAGCCACGGCUAACUACGUGCCAGCAGCCGCGGUAAUACGUAGGGGGCAAGCGUUAUCCGGAUUUACUGGGUGUAAAGGGAGCGUAGGCGGCAUUGCAAGUCUGGAGUUAAAGGCAGGGGCUCAACCCCCGGACUGCUCUGGAAACUGUACGGCUGGAGUGCAGGAGAGGUAAGUGGAAUUCCUAGUGUAGCGGUGAAAUGCGUAGAUAUUAGGAGGAACACCAGUGGCGAAGGCGGCUUACUGGACUGUAACUGACGUUAAGGCUCGAAAGCGUGGGGAGCAAACAGGAUUAGAUACCCCUGUAGUC
This 440-nucleotide ribosomal RNA is filed under the name uncultured bacterium. RNAcentral describes it as "partial 16S ribosomal RNA". It matches the Rfam family "Bacterial small subunit ribosomal RNA", at positions 338 to 795 of the family's 1533-position model. The record is from RNAcentral.